UACGGAGGGUGCAAGCGUUAAUCGGAAUUACUGGGCGUAAAGGGUGUGUAGACGGUUUGAUAAGUUAAGUGUGAAAGACCUGGGCUUAACCUGGGGGAGUCACUUAAGACUGUUAGACUAGAGUAUGGGAGAGGGUAGUGGAAUUUCCGGUGUAGCGGUGAAAUGCGUAGAGAUCGGAAGGAACACCAGUGGCGAAGGCGGCUAUCUGGCCCAAUACUGACGUUGAGGCACGAAAGCGUGGGGAGCAAACAGG
This 253-nucleotide ribosomal RNA is filed under the name uncultured bacterium. RNAcentral's name for it is "partial 16S ribosomal RNA". It matches the Rfam family "Bacterial small subunit ribosomal RNA", at positions 524 to 776 of the family's 1533-position model. The record is from RNAcentral.